ACACAACUGCAGCCUGGCGAGUCUCUGCUUGGUGGCCAGCUACGACUAGUGCCAGGGAGCGCACCUUCUCCAGUAUGCCCUCCUGAGCCGCUGCCGUCCUCUCUGCCGCGAUGGCGAGCCGGGUGGUGGAUUGUUCGAUCCUUCGCAGCACCUGAAAUGAAUAAUUGUGGUGGAAUUGUUCAUAUGAGUUGCUGAUUACUCGCAACCAGCUCAUCGCUGGAAGCUGUUGUUGUCAAGAAUUGCAACGUGCACAACAAUUGCCCACCUCCCUCGCUGUAGCCACUGUAGUGUCUAUCCUCCUAACACAUCACAUAUCCUAUGGCAAUGCCAUCCAAAACUACCCCCCUUACCCAAACCUUCAUCCCUCCCAUCUACCCCUUCCUCCGAGUGGCUGACCGCCGCAACCACCCUUCACGACCAACGAUUCCUUGGGGACUUCAUCGGCCUAGCGCUGAAGCAUGCCGCAAGCGACGCCCUGGACUCAGGGCACUGAUGCAUUUUUUAUCGCAGAAUAAAAAAAAGUGAUUUC
Dermacentor silvarum is the source of this 529-nucleotide long non-coding RNA. RefSeq lists it as uncharacterized. The transcript has 2 exons. NCBI's taxonomy places the organism in Eukaryota, Metazoa, Arthropoda, Arachnida, Ixodida, Ixodidae. The record is from RefSeq and is a predicted model, not a curated record.